Molecule: ribosomal RNA, 520 nt
Filed under: uncultured bacterium
Lineage: Bacteria
Description: partial 16S ribosomal RNA
Rfam family: Bacterial small subunit ribosomal RNA
Source: RNAcentral
GACGAACGCUGGCGGCGUGCCUAAUACAUGCAAGUCGAACGCACUCUCGUUUAGAUUGAAGGAGUUUGCUCCUGAUUGAUAAACAUUUGAGUGAGUGGCGGACGGGUGAGUAACACGUGGGUAACCUGCCCUAAAGUGGGGGAUAACAUUUGGAAACAGAUGCUAAUACCGCAUAAAACCUAACACCGCAUGGUGUAGGGUUGAAAGAUGGUUUCGGCUAUCACUUUAGGAUGGACCCGCGGUGCAUUAGUUAGUUGGUGAGGUAAAGGCUCACCAAGACCGGUGUUCCUUACCGACCCUAGGGGGUUAUUCGGCCCCCCUGGACUGGGGCACGGCCCCGGCUCCCUCGGGAGGCAGCAGUAGGGAAUCUUCCACAAUGGACGAAAGUCUGAUGGAGCAACGCCGCGUGAGUGAAGAAGGUUUUCGGAUCGUAAAACUCUGUUGUUGGAGAAGAAUGUAUCUGAUAGUAACUGAUCAGGUAGUGACGGUAUCCAACCAGAAAGCCACGGCUAACUACGUG